RNAcentral lists this ribosomal RNA (253 nucleotides) under uncultured bacterium. RNAcentral's name for it is "partial 16S ribosomal RNA". It matches the Rfam family "Bacterial small subunit ribosomal RNA", at positions 524 to 776 of the family's 1533-position model. The record is from RNAcentral.
UACGUAGGGUGCAAGCGUUAAUCGGAAUUACUGGGCGUAAAGCGUGCGCAGGCGGUUAUUUAAGACAGGCGUGAAAGCCCCGGGCUCAACCUGGGAGGUGCGCUUGUGACUGGAUAGCUAGAGUACGGCAGAGGGGAGUAAAAUUCCACGUAUAACAGUGAAAUGCAUAAAAAUAUGGAGGAACACCGAUGGCGAAAACAGCCCCCUGGGCUAGUACUGACGCUCAGGCACGAAAGCGUGGGGAGCAAACAGG